RNAcentral lists this ribosomal RNA (499 nucleotides) under uncultured bacterium. Its description in RNAcentral is "partial 16S ribosomal RNA". It matches the Rfam family "Bacterial small subunit ribosomal RNA", at positions 28 to 507 of the family's 1533-position model. The record is from RNAcentral.
GACGAACGCUGGCGGCGUGCUUAACACAUGCAAGUCGAACGGGCCUGUCUUCUUUUUUGGGGGUGGGUUGAGUGGCGAACGGGUGAGUAUCACGUGAGUAACCUGCCCUUCGGUCCUGGAUAACCGCUUGAAAGGGCGGCUAAUACGGGGUGGUCCGGUUGGUCCGCAUGGGCUGGUCGGGAUAGAUUCACUGUUUUUGGUGUUUCGGCGGGGGAUGGGCUCGCGGCCUAUCAGCUUGUUGGUGGGGUGAUGGCCUACCAAGGCGGUGACGGGUAGCCGGGCUGAGAGGGUGGGCGGCCACACGGGGACUGAGAUACGGCCCAGACUCCUGCGGGAGGCAGCAGUGGGGGGUAUUGCACAAUGGGCGGAAGCCUGAUGCAGCGACGUCGCGUGAGGGAUGGAGGCCUUCGGGUUGUGAACCUCUGUUUCCGGUGGUGAAGGCCCUGUCCGUGUGGUGGGGUUGACGGUAGCCGGGGAUGAAGCGCCGGCUAACUACGUG